Molecule: ribosomal RNA, 277 nt
Filed under: uncultured prokaryote
Description: partial 16S ribosomal RNA
Rfam family: Bacterial small subunit ribosomal RNA
Source: RNAcentral
GACGUAGGGGGCGAGCGUUGUCCGGAAUUACUGGGCGUAAAGAGCACGUAGGCGGGAUUUUAAGUCAGGUGUGAAAGACCGUGGCUCAACCACGGGGUUGCACAUGAAACUGGAAUUCUUGAGGGCAGGAGAGGAAAGUGGAAUUUCUAGUGUAGCGGUGGAAUGCGUAGAUAUUAGAAGGAACACCAGCGGCGAAGGCGACUUUCUGGACUGUAACUGACGCUGAGGCACGAAAGCGUGGGGAGCAAACAGGAUUAGAUACCCUGGUAGUCCCUGA